GGACCCGCACAAGCGGUGGAUUAUGUGGAUUAAUUCGAUGCAACGCGAAAAACCUUACCUACCCUUGACAUGUCCGGAAGCCUGGUGAGAGCCGGGGGUGCUCGAAAGAGAACCGGAACACAGGUGCUGCAUGGCUGUCGUCAGCUCGUGUCGUGAGAUGUUGGGUUAAGUCCCGCAACGAGCGCAACCCUUGUCAUUAGUUGCUACAUUCAGUUGGGCACUCUAAUGAGACUGCCGGUGACAAACCGGAGGAAGGUGGGGAUGACGUCAAGUCCUCAUGGCCCUUAUGGGUAGGGCUUCACACGUAAUACAAUGGCGCGUACAGAGGGUUGCGAAGGAGCGAUCUGGAGCCAAUCCCUUAAAGCGCGUCGUAGUCCGGAUUGCAGUCUGCAACUCGACUGCAUGAAGUCGGAAUCGCUAGUAAUCGCGGAUCAGCAUGUCGCGGUGAAUACGUUCCCGGGUCUU
This 465-nucleotide ribosomal RNA is filed under the name uncultured bacterium. Its description in RNAcentral is "bacterial SSU rRNA". It matches the Rfam family "Bacterial small subunit ribosomal RNA", at positions 917 to 1382 of the family's 1533-position model. The record is from RNAcentral.